CACGUAGGGCGAGCGUUGUUCGGAAUUACUGGCGUAAAGGACGAUGUAGGCGGUCUUGUAAGCUUGGCGUGAAAUACCACGGCACAACCGUGGGAAUGCGUUGAGAACUGCGAGGCUUGAGUGACGGAGAGGGAGCUAGAAUUCCUGGUGUAGGGGUGGAAUCUGUAGAGAUCAGGAAGAAUACCAAUGGCGAAGGCAAGCUCCUGGCCGAUGACUGACGCUGAGGUGCG
Molecule: ribosomal RNA, 230 nt
Filed under: uncultured bacterium
Lineage: Bacteria
Description: partial 16S ribosomal RNA
Rfam family: Bacterial small subunit ribosomal RNA
Source: RNAcentral